This is a long non-coding RNA of Lepidothrix coronata (blue-crowned manakin), 5230 nucleotides long. RefSeq lists it as uncharacterized. The record is from RefSeq and is a predicted model, not a curated record. Lineage: Eukaryota; Metazoa; Chordata; Aves; Passeriformes; Pipridae. The transcript has 14 exons.
CAGCCGCGGCGCCGCCGGGCACCACGGGCAGCGUAGUCCGGGCCGGGGGAGGAGGAACGAGCGCCAGGAGGAGGAGGAGGAGGAGGUGAUGAACCGACGAGCACAUGGAGUUCCAGAUACUGAUCAUCAGAGAAUCCACGUGUGGCAAAAAGGAUGGAUAAUCUUCUGGCUUGGCUCCUGGUGGAGCCUGCAUGUGGUUGUUUCAGGCUAAUGUAAAAAAAGGGUACAGCAUUUAUUCUGCCAGGGCAUUACAUGUAAUGUUUUAUUUAAUUGAUAUAUCUGUGGUAACAGUCCUAUUACCUUCUUUCUAAUUGGCGUCACUGUGCGUAGCAGAUCAUGCCAAGAAAAUCCUUGUUUUUUAAGUCAGAAAUUAAACUGUUAGUGCUGAGAUUUGGUAAACAAAGUUAGGCUCUGGUCACAGAAAUUUGCAGGCUCUAUGUACACCUUGAGUUACAUGCUGCAGAACCCACUCAAGUAAUUUAAGUACCAUGGUAGGUGUAGGCCUAGCUGGUUAGGAUUCUGAAAAACAGCUGAAUGAUAAUACUUAAUCAAAUACGACUGCAGGGGCUGCAGCCUGCCAAGUUAAAAGAUUUCAUUUUAAAACAAGGUAAACCAUUGUGUCUCCUUGAUUAAAGGCAUUAAAGUUUAGUAAGAGGUAUGUGGCCUUAUAGUGUUCUUACACAUUGGUUUGCAUUGGAAGGGACCUCAAAGAUCAUCUAAUCCUUGGAAAUACCCCUGUGGGCAGGGAUGCCACCCGCUAGAUCAGGUUGCUCAGGACAUUGUCUAACCUGGCCUUAAACAUUGUCAGGGAUGGGGCAUCCACAACUUCUCUGGGCAACCUGUUCCAGUGUCUCACCACCCUCAUGGGAACCAUAAACACUGUACAUGAGUCAUAAAUACAAGUGCUGUGGGCCUGGGAUGGCCCAGCAGAGGAUGAAAUACUGAUACUGUAAACAAAGUUUGGUGUCUUGGAUUUAUCUUCCCAAUCCUAUUUCCCACCCUCCCUAGAUAAGUUUGGUGCACAGGAUGCAAAUUCAAGUCAUGGCAUCAUUGCUUCCUCUCCACGGAGAAGGAUGUUCAAGUUUCACCUGAAGCUACAAAUCAUUGCAGUCUUCAGCUGUUUCAUGUUCACACUGAUAAGUCUGUCCUGUGCCAGUGUUGGGAACACAGGUGAAGAUGCUUAGGAUGAGGGAGCAUCAUCCCGAGUGGAGAGGAGGGGUCUUUAAUGGCCUGUGAACCUGUCUGUAUUGGAGUGAACUGCCAAGGACUCCGACAGUCUCAAAUGCUGCUGCAUUGGGUGGCAACUGGCAGAUUUGGAAGGCUCCAUGUGAGCUUUUCUAUUCAGUCCCCUUCCACAGGGACAAUUUAACUGUGGAGGUGUGGACUGGAAUUUUUGGCAGUUACCAUUAUCAGUGAUAAUGAUAAAUUCUCUGUUGGCUCUCCAUUUGUGUCCUGCCUCAGCAAUUGCACUUAGCUUGCAGGACAUUGUGCGCUUGGAGUAACAUGCAAUUGUAGGAAAGAUCAACACGGAAAAGCAGAAUCCUGAGGCUGAGCUCAACCCGAUCUUGACUUGCAGAGUGGUAUUAGUCAUAAUUUCAAAAAUGUCAAAGGAGCCACAACUGAGCAUUUCUUCUGUUCCCACCUGUGCUUUGGGUUGUGAAAGAAUAACAUUAGUACAUAGAGACCUUGACUUCCUCUUGGAUGCAUCUGGAAGAUUUUAUUAGGCAGUCCACUGUGCCUGUGAUCUGUCUGAGAGCAGCUGAUGAUGAGCAUCACCAAGAUAUUGCACUGGGCUGCUGAUAAUUUUCUGUCUUUCCAACGACUUGAAAAACUGGAUUCAUGGAACAUCACUCUCACAAACCACAGCCUCACCAUGGGGACAUCAGGGCAACCACAGCUGUACUAAGUAUCUUCACCAGCAAUCUGUCACCCUCUGACAAAUCUUUUCUUCUUGAAGACCAGAAAGAUUGUUAUUGAGCCUUCCACAAAGCUGAAAUAAUGCUGUGUGUUAAAAAAAUGUUAACAAUUUGAAGAAGUUAUAAAAAUUUAUAAGUUGGCUGAAUAGUUUGGAAAUUUCUGCAUAUUUUAAUAUAAAUAGGUGCUAGCAGCAUGUGAAGCCGAGAGCAGUGAAAACCCAAAGGAGUACUGCACACACUGAAGAGGUCACCAGGAGCUGUUGUGCAGGGUAUAUUCCUUUCCUGCUGCAGCUCUUGGUCGUUCCAUCCAGCAUGGAUAAAAAGGCUGCACAGCGCUCAGUUUCUGGAAGAUCUCUCUCUGGGAGAAGGAGGGCUGCUGUGAGUCUUAUUUCACUGUGAUCAAGUUAUUCCUCCCAGACAGUGUGAAAGACAAAUUGGGGAGUUUUGGAUACCAUCUCUUGAAGAGAAUGAAUCUGGAUUCAAUGCAGCUGGCUGCAGAAAGAAUUACAGAAGUACUGAUUUAAUUGACUCCAUGGAUUUGCAACCAGCAGUUCAGCAGCUGCUUCAUGAGCCAUCCUUGCAGGAGGGGAACGUCAGAGGGAUGGAUUUCUUUAACUGGGAAGAUAUGACAGGUUGUGAUAUUGGACUGCAGUGAAGCUCCACCUGUGCUGUUCUACCCUUCAUGAGUGAGCAGUGCUGGGCAGUGCAGCAGGCAUGCUCCUGCCCUUUUCAGGAUGAUGGUAUCUCUAGCCCUGUCUGCUGGGUUCUUCCUGCUUUCGUGCUGAAGAGCUGUGUGGGAGAAGGUGGCCAGGCAUAUAGUGUUGUAACAACCUUCUACUGAUGGAGGCGCAAUGCUGGUGUGUGCUGGCAACACACCCAGCAGUGGAUGCAGUGAUACAAGUACUUUGGGCAGCACAGAGGAAGUGCCUGCAGAAUCCAGCAUGGAGCAGAGCUCCUGAGAGAGAGAGGGCAGCAGUGAGGAGCUGUGUUUGCUGGAGAAAACGUUUGAAGGCGUGGAGAACACUUGUCCAGUCAUAACUGAAACUAUACAAGAUGCACAGGCCUGAAAUGUCACCUUAAGUUUCUGUUGCUCUCUGAUGUGGAUCCUGUCUUCUAGCAAACUUUAUGGACAACAGCUUUUGUUACAAGGAGAGAUGGUUUGAUCCUCUCCUUAAUGCAAACCCCACACCUUCACCUAGAUUCCUUCCUGGGCAGCUGCAGUGGAUCUGAACACCAAGGGAAUUUGACCCACUGGAUUCCUUUCCUUUCUCUGCAGUUGAAUGAAAAGUGUGUGUCUUUUGAAGAACAGCAACUGAAAGAAAUAUUGAUGACUACCAGAGCAUCUACAGAAAAGGAUAAGAAAAUUACUACGACAGUGGAGACAAAGGGGCUUUCUUAACUCUUUCUUGUAGGUUGUAUAUAUUAAUAGAAACAAGUAAAGUUUUGUAUUUUUUAAGAGAAACACACAAGGUUUUGAACUGUAUUGUUUUAAUUGCAGCUAACUGAAUGAAUUAAGUGGAAAAUUGCACACAGUACUUUGAUUGUCUAACUCUCUGUAUGUGAGGCUUUGGGAACAGUUUGUUAUUAUAAAAGAAUAGCACUAACAAGAAAACAGCCAGCAUGUAAUUGCUGGGUUGAGGGGCAGUUUGGGGAAGGCUGAUACUUAUUUAUAAAUUAUUAAAUAAAAGCACAUAAUAAGUGGAUCAUCUCUCACUGCCUCCACACUGCAUACAUUACUCAUCUUCCUAAAUUUCAUCUUUUUGUACUCCCUUAGUCCAUUGCUUCUUAUAACCAGUGCAGGCAUCAAAACCACCCACGUCCAGGAAAGGAGAUGCCUGUGCAUUUGUUAUGAUGGCAGUUUUGGUUAUGGGACUCAUCUAAGAAUAUGAACCUUCAGUUCAAGGACAGAAAUUUUGACUGGACUUUUAAAGGUUGUUUUACGUGCCUAAAUACACACGAGCACCUGGGACUCUUUUCAGGUAGCUUAAACUCUGGCCAGUGUUUCAACUUGACUAGGUACCUUUGCUGAUUUACAGCCAGCCUCUACCCUAAAUGGAAGGACUGAAGAGCAAUUUGGGCAUUAAAUUUACCAAGGUUCUCAAAAACACAUUGGUUAUGUAAUUCCCAUCAAUUUUGGUAAGAAAGAGGUAACUUCUGAUUAUCUUGUAUUGUUCUCACUGCUCACUAGUGCCUUACUACCUUAGGAAACACAGCCACUUGCAAGACACAGAGAGGAGGUCGGUGGUGGUUGGGCUCACCAAGAAGGUAGAACAGUAUUUCAUCCUCAAUGUUUUUGACUAUUUCAGCCCUCCUGGAUGAUGGAGUUGCCAUUCGUUCCUCCGGCAUAAAUUUGAGGGCUGUCUUCUAGGAAAGCAAGGUGUCUCUGUUUCAGAGGACCCAGUUGCUAACCGGUUGCACUGACACAUAAGCAGUUCUUCACAUGCCUAUGUAACGAGGGGGUGGGUAAUGUCCUGGCCUCACAAGUGAGGUGCAUGUCCUACAGACUGAGGGAGCAUCAUCUGGGGAUGGAAAGGUGUGCCAGCACCUGGAUAGCUGGCUCUGCUGGACACAUCUUUGAGCUUGCUGUGCUGCUAUAUACUAUGACAUUCGUGCUGUAUAAACAAACCACACUGUUAAACCACUUAAACAGUGUUUAUGCAACUUUAAAAUGGUAGAGGCUUAAUUUUUUACUUCAUCCGCAGGCUUAUUAAAACUUAUGUGUCCACACUGAAAUGGUGUGAAAAGAUUAAAUUGCUAACCCUGGCUACCAGCCUAGCUGAUGUGAGACUGUUGCACAGAAGGUGCCUGAGAGGUGGAACUGGGCAGAGUUUAGCUUUGCAUAGCUGUUGCCAAAGAGUUGCUUGGUAUCCCUCUCACUGUUUUUUGAAGUCCAAAAAUAUUUUCCCCCAAAUAAUAACCUAUUUUUUCUGCAAGAGAACACAACUGCAUCUAUGAAAGGUCUUGGCUUUUACAGUAAGUCUGGUUUGUAUAGUUUCCUCUCUAUAUGUAUGUUGUCUGCAGAAUUACCAACAGUCAUAAUGAAAAACACAGUUUUGUUACAGGAGCUUUCAACAGUGGUUUUUAGUAAUUUAGAAAAUAUUGGAACUACUUCCAACAAAUGAAAAAAAUCGAAACAGCUUUGAAAAUGUUGAUACACUUAGGGAAAUAAAUCUUUGGUUUUAGCCCUGCUCUGUUAUUCUCUCUCUGAUACUAAAACCAAUAUAAAGCACUACUGAUUUCAAUCAGCUCAACAGGGGAUACUGUAUGGCUUCCACCCCACUGUUCCCUGGGUUGGGGGACUAAAUCUCAGCUGU